GUCCAGGGAUGGGAAACUAACCCACAGUGUUCCGCUUACCGGGCAGAUGCCAUGUCCACUAGGCUACCCUGGA
RNAcentral lists this transfer RNA (73 nucleotides) under Cordylochernes scorpioides. RNAcentral describes it as "tRNA-Thr". The record is from RNAcentral. Lineage: Eukaryota; Metazoa; Arthropoda; Arachnida; Pseudoscorpiones; Chernetidae.